AGCUUUGUGCAGUGACAGUAUCGUAGCCAAUGAGGUUUAUCCGUGCGAUUAUUGCUAAUUGAAAAAUAUGAAAUAAAAUUUUCCUGAGCAUAUGAGUCAGUAGACCACAGUAUGGUGUUUCAAGAGAACAAUAUGUAGCAGCUUCAAUACACUUAAUUCUUACUUAUAUGAGG
Molecule: small nuclear RNA, 173 nt
Filed under: Canis lupus familiaris (dog)
Lineage: Eukaryota; Metazoa; Chordata; Mammalia; Carnivora; Canidae
Also listed under: 1 other name
Description: U4 spliceosomal RNA (ENSCAFG00000043991.2, ENSCAFG00040019097.1, ENSCAFG00805001591.1)
Rfam family: U4 spliceosomal RNA (bases 1-80)
Source: RNAcentral